GACGAACGCUGGCGGCGUGCUUAACACAUGCAAGUCGAACGGAAAGGCCCUGCUUUUGUGGGGUGCUCGAGUGGCGAACGGGUGAGUAACACGUGAGUAACCUGCCCUUGACUUUGGGAUAACUUCAGGAAACUGGGGCUAAUACCGGAUAGGAGCUCCUGCUGCAUGGUGGGGGUUGGAAAGUUUCGGCGGUUGGGGAUGGACUCGCGGCUUAUCAGCUUGUUGGUGGGGUAGUGGCUUACCAAGGCUUUGACGGGUAGCCGGCCUGAGAGGGUGACCGGCCACCUUGGGACUGCGAUACGGACCAGACUGGUACGGGAGGCAGCAGGGGGGAAUAUUGCACAAUGGGCGGAAGCCUGAUGCAGCAACCCCGCGUGUGGGAUGACGGCCUUCGGGUUGUAAACCGCUUUCGCCUGUGACGAAGCGUGAGUGACGGUAAUGGGUAAAGAAGCACCGGCUAACUACGUG
RNAcentral lists this ribosomal RNA (468 nucleotides) under uncultured bacterium. RNAcentral's name for it is "partial 16S ribosomal RNA". It matches the Rfam family "Bacterial small subunit ribosomal RNA", at positions 28 to 507 of the family's 1533-position model. The record is from RNAcentral.